UGUGAUACACCACUAGUUGAUGGGUAUAAUGAUGACUCUAUAAGCUGGAUGCCACUACUGCCCAGACCAUGUCCCAACCCAAAUGAUCUUUGUUGGCUCCCACUAACUGUUGGACUAAGUGGCAUCUUUGCUCUUCCAUCCCCAGAAUUAAUAGGACUCCAUCGUUGGAACCGGAAUGGUGAAGGGAUACUAAGUACUGCUGUAGCAGAUGCACUGUUAUGCCUGAAAAGUGAAAGAUAUGGUGUUUGAAAAACUCUUGGCAUCCCAUUGCCAAGACACGAUAUUGCACAAACCAGCAAAAUCAAUGAAAUAAUCAGAAUGGCAAUAAGAAAUAUCGGAUGUAUCUUCAUUUGAAGUAUUUGAUAAGUAGGAAGUCUCAGUCUAGGUGAAAAUGCCUUCCCAGCUUCAAAAAGAGCAACACCAAGUGUCCAAGUAAUACUUCCAGAACCAAUAAUAAUGUGGUCAUCUGUGAUAUGUAAACCCUCUCU
This 488-nucleotide unclassified non-coding RNA is filed under the name Hevea brasiliensis (rubber tree). The record is from RNAcentral. Lineage: Eukaryota; Viridiplantae; Streptophyta; Magnoliopsida; Malpighiales; Euphorbiaceae.